Molecule: transfer RNA, 74 nt
Filed under: Tindallia magadiensis
Lineage: Bacteria; Bacillati; Bacillota; Clostridia; Peptostreptococcales; Tindalliaceae
Also listed under: 1 other name
Description: tRNA_Trp_CCA
Rfam family: tRNA
About the family: Transfer RNA (tRNA) molecules are approximately 80 nucleotides in length.
Source: RNAcentral
AGGGGUGUAGUUCAGUCUGGUAGAACGACGGUCUCCAAAACCGUAUGCCGUGGGUUCAAAUCCUGCCACCCCUG